CGCGUUUCGUCUUCAUAAGACUCAUCAUUAACAAGCGGUUUCACAUGUACAUCUACUUAUAUUCUUUUAACACCCAUAAGAACGAAUAAAUUUAAAUAAACAAGUAGACACAGGAUGUAAUCAUUAUUCAGUUCGUUACAUCUUCAGUAUAUGACAAUAUUAUAUUGAAAAAUUACUAUACAGGAUCUCGGGGUAAAUUACAAGGACAAGUGCUUCAAUAUUUAAAAG
This 228-nucleotide long non-coding RNA is filed under the name Mytilus galloprovincialis (Mediterranean mussel). Lineage: Eukaryota; Metazoa; Mollusca; Bivalvia; Mytilida; Mytilidae. The record is from RNAcentral.